UACGUAGGUGGCAAGCGUUGUCCGGAAUUAUUGGGCGUAAAGCGCGCGCAGGCGGUCCUUUAAGUCUGAUGUGAAAGCCCACGGCUCAACCGUGGAGGGUCAUUGGAAACUGGGGGACUUGAGUGCAGGAGAGAAGAGUGGAAUUCCACGUGUAGCGGUGAAAUGCGUAGAGAUGUGGAGGAACACCAGUGGCGAAGGCGGCGAUCUGGGAAGAUACUGACGCUGAGGUGCGAAAGCGUGGGGAGCAAACAGG
Molecule: ribosomal RNA, 253 nt
Filed under: uncultured bacterium
Lineage: Bacteria
Description: partial 16S ribosomal RNA
Rfam family: Bacterial small subunit ribosomal RNA
Source: RNAcentral